Molecule: transfer RNA, 71 nt
Filed under: Phrynosoma platyrhinos (Desert horned lizard)
Lineage: Eukaryota; Metazoa; Chordata; Lepidosauria; Squamata; Phrynosomatidae
Description: tRNA-OTHER
Source: RNAcentral
GCCAGUGUGGCACAGUGGUUUCAGUCUUGGACUGUGACUCUGGAGACCAGGGUUCAACUCCCAGCUUGACC